Long non-coding RNA from Cucurbita maxima (winter squash), 791 nucleotides. RefSeq lists it as uncharacterized. The record is from RefSeq and is a predicted model, not a curated record. The transcript has 2 exons. Lineage: Eukaryota; Viridiplantae; Streptophyta; Magnoliopsida; Cucurbitales; Cucurbitaceae.
AAACCCAAAAGUUUAAGUAAAACAAAUGAAGUUACCAAGUUUGAGAAAGCUUAGUAACCAUUGAACCCAAAAACUUAAGUAAAACAAAUGAAGUUACCAAGUUCGAGAACGGUUAGUAACUACUGAACCCAAAAGCUCAAGUAAAACAAAUGAAGUUACCAAUUCGAGAACGAUUAGUAACCACCGAACCCAAAAACUUCAGUAAAACAAAUGAAGUUACCAAGUUCAAGAACGGUUAGUAACCACUAAACCCAAAAGCUUAAGUAAAACAAAAGAAGUUACCAAGUUCGAGUACGGUUAGUAACCACUGAACCCAAAAGCUUAAUAACUUGAACUUUUUGUUCGAUGUUGUGUUAAAUCGCUACUUAGCUCAACAGUUUAAGUUGAUGAGAGACUAACUUUAGCACGUUAUCCAAUCACUAAAAUAUUACGGGUUCGUCUUUGUGAUUGGACGACAUAACAUGAACAAAGAAAGGGCUUACGUUGAGUAUUUUCCAUCAAAUGGAAAGGUCAUGAGCCCUUUAAUACCACCACAAGCACUGUGACCGAUCACAACAAUGUAUUGAACCUGCACCAGCCAAAACAUUCAUUCAUCACCCAAAUUUACUAUUUAAAAGCUCUCCCAAGUCAAAGUACAUGACUUCUUGGGUUCGUCUUCGGUACAAAUUAACUUCAAACUAACAAUAACGACUGAAGUGUAAGGUCGAAAACGAGGUAUAUACCUUGAGAUGAAGAACAGCAUAUUCAAUGGCGGAUCCAGUUCCUGAGAAUUUGCUCUGUUUUCAACGGAU